UUUUAAGUUGAUGCCAAUGAAAGCCGAGGACCUAAAAAGCGCUGCCCGCAGUCACAUGUAAAAGCAUCUGCACUCUCUCUUAACUUUACGUUUCCAAGUAUGUCCAGAAAAGGAUCUCCUCUGUGACCUGUCCUCGGUGUGCUCAGCAAAGUGCUUGGCUCCCGCGAAAGACUCCCCGCAGCCGACGCAGAUGUAGCUCACAGUCUCCGCGUGCUGCACGCAGUGUCGCAGCAGGUGCAGCAGGUUCUUGAAAGCUCUUCCGCACUGGCACUUGUGUGAGCGGCGGCCUUUGUGGAGGUAGCGGUGGCUGAUGAUGAAAGAGGGCUGCCGCAGGAUGGCGCCACACUGCCUGCAGGGGUAAGGGGUCUUGGAACGCCAGCCGGCGUUCAUGCGUUUCAUCAGAGCCGCGUUGUGGCUGUCGUUCUUAAACAAGGCCAUAAUCGUGGGCGACGGCGGCGUGACGGGAGGGGAGGCCGCGGCGGCUGCCGUUGAGUCAGCGGCUUCGGGAAGGACAAAUGAAGGGGCGGGCCGACUGCUUAAAGGCCGGUUCUUUGGACUUUGGGCGCGGCGUUUCCCCGAUCUAACAGGCGCCGUGCUUAUAGUGGCAUGUGGUCGGUCUGCAUGGGAGGAGGUCGAGACAGGGGGAGGGCUGGAUUUCACAACAGUGGCUAGAGACCCUACGUAGGUUUGGCCAGCACGGAACUGCCCAUGCAUGACCUGAAAGACCUCCUUUGGAUUGCUGUCCACUACCGUGGUUGCUGUCCUGAGGACACAGGGGGAAACGUUUGUAUCGGUCAAUGCUGAUGGGUUGGUAAUGAUACACACCUUGGUGCUGACCACUGAUGUGUGAACUUUAGUCACGUGGUUUAACAACGUUUUCUCAGAGGUGAAAAAGGAUUUACAUAUGUGACACGCUUGCGGCAUUGACUCUGGACAAAAGAGGACCAGGGGGGAUUUGGCUCCCUUGGGACACUGGUGGUAUUGGUACGAGCUCUCAUAAGGAAAAACUUGGCUACAGAUUUCACAAGAAUACAAAGGCAUGUAGUGUUCCUUAACAGACACCUCGGUUAGGAACAGCUUCUUGCACACUGAACACUGAUAUUUGACCCGUAUACCACUACAGUGCAGUAAAUGUAGCUUCAUUGACCGAAAUGGCCCUCUGCCACACGCAGCACAUAUUGAGCUAUCAACACUAGGGAGAGCUGCCGGGGGGGGUUUAGAGUGCGAACUGUGAGAAGAGUCACUGGAAGAAUUGGAUGAACUCGAGUCACCAUCAGAUUCUGGAUCCUCUGAACACAAGUCUGCAGAUUUUGAGGGUGUAUCUUCGUCUUCAGAUUCAGUGCUCGAUGAGUCAUCUGCUUUCUCACUGUCGUUUUCCAUGUGAAAAUCUUUAUCCUCUGCACCCAGUACAUAAUCUAAAUUGCUAUCAGAUGCCUCAGCUUUCUCAGGCUUCAUCUCAGCGCUUUGCGGAGGCCUCGGCUCCGACGCCGUGUCACGUUGCAGUGACUUUGUUUUAUGCUGCGCAGUCUCGUCAAUAGGAAGGUUGUCACUGUUCUGACUCUGACACAUGGGCCCGGACAUCAGAAGAGGAGGUGUUUUGAUUGGCGAGCCGAUGCACUGUGUCUCCACGUGAUUGUUCAAUUCCCACGAGCUACUGAAAUACUGGUUGCACUUUUUGCAAAAGGGUGGCAAGUGUACAUUAUCCAGGUGGAUGGAGAGAGACGUCAGACGUCGGAAGUUAACUUUGCAGAUGUGGCAGGUGGCUUUUACGUUGUGGCUUUUGUAGUGCAACAUCAAGCUUUUAAUUUUGCCAAAUGUUUUGCCACAUUCCCAACAUUUGGCCUUUCGGUGUGCAUCAAUGUGCUUCCUCUCAGCGGAUGCACACCAUUCUUCAUCGCUGCUCAAGUCUUCAGACAUAAUGAGCAGGUCAGGGCAAUCCUCUGGCCGGUCUGCAAUUUUAAGUAGAAUGGACAAAAUCAGUUUGACACGUUUGAAUAAAUCCCACAACAAGCAUUACAGCAGACAGCUAUUUACUUAGCUAUUACGGUUUACAGACAUUAUCAUUAUUACGAUCAUGAAUGUUUUCUUUUAUCAUAUGAACUUAGUAAGAUUUAGGCAAACUACACCAAUUAUGUUUGGUUAAGAGCUGAAACCAUGAUUAUCUUUACUAAUUAUUUGACUGACAAAAAAUGAAUGAGUUCAUAUGAUGUCAUGGUGUCAACCAUUGUUAUGAAUUAUGAGUCAAAUAGAAAUGCAUUGUCCCCAGAGGUUAAAGCCCACUAUCAAGUUAUCCUCCGACAUCUAACCCCAUCAUUGGGUCAACAUUCCAAUGAGUAUAAGAGCUUGGUUUAUGACUAAAUAUCUGAAAACUAAUAAAUUCCCAU
This is a long non-coding RNA of Gasterosteus aculeatus aculeatus (three-spined stickleback), 2384 nucleotides long. NCBI's taxonomy places the organism in Eukaryota, Metazoa, Chordata, Actinopteri, Perciformes, Gasterosteidae. The record is from Ensembl.